GAUGAACGCUGGCGGCGUGCCUAAUACAUGCAAGUCGAGCGAACGGACGAGAAGCUUGCUUCUCUGAUGUUAGCGGCGGACGGGUGAGUAACACGUGGAUAACCUACCUAUAAGACUGGGAUAACUUCGGGAAACCGGAGCUAAUACCGGAUAAUAUUUUGAACCGCAUGGUUCAAAAGUGAAAGACGGUCUUGCUGUCACUUAUAGAUGGAUCCGCGCUGCAUUAGCUAGUUGGUAAGGUAACGGCUUACCAAGGCAACGAUGCAUAGCCGACCUGAGAGGGUGAUCGGCCACACAGGAACUGAGACACGGUCCAGACUCCUACGGGAGGCAGCAGUAGGGAAUCUUCCGCAAAGGGCGAAAGCCUGACGGAGCAACGCCGCGUGAGUGAAGAAGGUCUUCGGAUCGUAAAACUCUGUUAUUAGUGAAGAACAUAUGUGUAAGUAACUGUGCACAUCUUGACGGUACCUAAUCAGAAAGCCACGGCUAACUACGU
Molecule: ribosomal RNA, 496 nt
Filed under: uncultured bacterium
Lineage: Bacteria
Description: partial 16S ribosomal RNA
Rfam family: Bacterial small subunit ribosomal RNA
Source: RNAcentral